RNAcentral lists this ribosomal RNA (253 nucleotides) under uncultured bacterium. RNAcentral describes it as "partial 16S ribosomal RNA". It matches the Rfam family "Bacterial small subunit ribosomal RNA", at positions 524 to 776 of the family's 1533-position model. The record is from RNAcentral.
UACGGGGGGGGCAAGCGUUGUUCGGAAUUACUGGGCGUAAAGGGCUCGUAGGCGGCCAACUAAGUCCGACGUGAAAUCCCCAGGCUUAACCUGGGAACUGCGUCGGAUACUGGAUGGCUUGAAUCCGGGAGAGGGAUGCGGAAUUCCAGGUGUAGCGGUGAAAUGCGUAGAUAUCAGGAGGAACACCUGUGGUGUAGACAGCUUACUGGACCACGACUGACGCUGAGACACGAAAGCGUGGGUAGCAAACAGG